RNAcentral lists this unclassified non-coding RNA (241 nucleotides) under plant metagenome. Its description in RNAcentral is "partial contains small subunit ribosomal RNA and internal transcribed spacer 1". The stretch from base 1 to 48 matches the Rfam family "Eukaryotic small subunit ribosomal RNA", at positions 1784 to 1831 of the family's 1831-position model. The record is from RNAcentral.
AAAGGUCGUAACAAGGUUUCCGUAGGUGAACCUGCGGAAGGAUCAUUAAAGAGUUAGGGUUCCUAGUGGCCCAAACCUCCAAACCCUCUGUUGUUAAAAAGCUACCUUGUUGCUUUGGCGGGACCGUUCGGUCUCCGAGCGCGUUAACCCUCGGGUUGGCGAGCGCCCGCCAGAGUCCAAACCAAAGCUCUUGUAUUAAAACCAGUCGUCUGAGUAUAAAAGUUUUAAUUUAAAUUAAAAA